RNAcentral lists this ribosomal RNA (2931 nucleotides) under Escherichia coli. RNAcentral's name for it is "23S ribosomal RNA". It matches the Rfam family "Bacterial large subunit ribosomal RNA". Lineage: Bacteria; Pseudomonadati; Pseudomonadota; Gammaproteobacteria; Enterobacterales; Enterobacteriaceae. The record is from RNAcentral.
GGGUUGUGAGGUUAAGCGACUAAGCGUACACGGUGGAUGCCCUGGCAGUCAGAGGCGAUGAAGGACGUGCUAAUCUGCGAUAAGCGUCGGUAAGGUGAUAUGAACCGUUAUAACCGGCGAUUUCCGAAUGGGGAAACCCAGUGUGAUUCGUCACACUAUCAUUAACUGAAUCCAUAGGUUAAUGAGGCGAACCGGGGGAACUGAAACAUCUAAGUACCCCGAGGAAAAGAAAUCAACCGAGAUUCCCCCAGUAGCGGCGAGCGAACGGGGAGGAGCCCAGAGCCUGAAUCAGUGUGUGUGUUAGUGGAAGCGUCUGGAAAGGCGCGCGAUACAGGGUGACAGCCCCGUACACAAAAAUGCACAUGCUGUGAGCUCGAUGAGUAGGGCGGGACACGUGGUAUCCUGUCUGAAUAUGGGGGGACCAUCCUCCAAGGCUAAAUACUCCUGACUGACCGAUAGUGAACCAGUACCGUGAGGGAAAGGCGAAAAGAACCCCGGCGAGGGGAGUGAAAAAGAACCUGAAACCGUGUACGUACAAGCAGUGGGAGCACGCUUAGGCGUGUGACUGCGUACCUUUUGUAUAAUGGGUCAGCGACUUAUAUUCUGUAGCAAGGUUAACCGAAUAGGGGAGCCGAAGGGAAACCGAGUCUUAACUGGGCGUUAAGUUGCAGGGUAUAGACCCGAAACCCGGUGAUCUAGCCAUGGGCAGGUUGAAGGUUGGGUAACACUAACUGGAGGACCGAACCGACUAAUGUUGAAAAAUUAGCGGAUGACUUGUGGCUGGGGGUGAAAGGCCAAUCAAACCGGGAGAUAGCUGGUUCUCCCCGAAAGCUAUUUAGGUAGCGCCUCGUGAAUUCAUCUCCGGGGGUAGAGCACUGUUUCGGCAAGGGGGUCAUCCCGACUUACCAACCCGAUGCAAACUGCGAAUACCGGAGAAUGUUAUCACGGGAGACACACGGCGGGUGCUAACGUCCGUCGUGAAGAGGGAAAUAACCCAGACCGCCAGCUAAGGUCCCAAAGUCAUGGUUAAGUGGGAAACGAUGUGGGAAGGCCCAGACAGCCAGGAUGUUGGCUUAGAAGCAGCCAUCAUUUAAAGAAAGCGUAAUAGCUCACUGGUCGAGUCGGCCUGCGCGGAAGAUGUAACGGGGCUAAACCAUGCACCGAAGCUGCGGCAGCGACGCUGAUGCGUUGUUGGGUAGGGGAGCGUUCUGUAAGCCUGCGAAGGUGUGCUGUGAGGCAUGCUGGAGGUAUCAGAAGUGCGAAUGCUGACAUAAGUAACGAUAAAGCGGGUGAAAAGCCCGCUCGCCGGAAGACCAAGGGUUCCUGUCCAACGUUAAUCGGGGCAGGGUGAGUCGACCCCUAAGGCGAGGCCGAAAGGCGUAGUCGAUGGGAAACAGGUUAAUAUUCCUGUACUUGGUGUUACUGCGAAGGGGGGACGGAGAAGGCUAUGUUGGCCGGGCGACGGUUGUCCCGGUUUAAGCGUGUAGGCUGGUUUUCCAGGCAAAUCCGGAAAAUCAAGGCUGAGGCGUGAUGACGAGGCACUACGGUGCUGAAGCAACAAAUGCCCUGCUUCCAGGAAAAGCCUCUAAGCAUCAGGUAACAUCAAAUCGUACCCCAAACCGACACAGGUGGUCAGGUAGAGAAUACCAAGGCGCUUGAGAGAACUCGGGUGAAGGAACUAGGCAAAAUGGUGCCGUAACUUCGGGAGAAGGCACGCUGAUAUGUAGGUGAAGUCCCUCGCGGAUGGAGCUGAAAUCAGUCGAAGAUACCAGCUGGCUGCAACUGUUUAUUAAAAACACAGCACUGUGCAAACACGAAAGUGGACGUAUACGGUGUGACGCCUGCCCGGUGCCGGAAGGUUAAUUGAUGGGGUCAGCGCAAGCGAAGCUCUUGAUCGAAGCCCCGGUAAACGGCGGCCGUAACUAUAACGGUCCUAAGGUAGCGAAAUUCCUUGUCGGGUAAGUUCCGACCUGCACGAAUGGCGUAAUGAUGGCCAGGCUGUCUCCACCCGAGACUCAGUGAAAUUGAACUCGCUGUGAAGAUGCAGUGUACCCGCGGCAAGACGGAAAGACCCCGUGAACCUUUACUAUAGCUUGACACUGAACAUUGAGCCUUGAUGUGUAGGAUAGGUGGGAGGCUUUGAAGUGUGGACGCCAGUCUGCAUGGAGCCGACCUUGAAAUACCACCCUUUAAUGUUUGAUGUUCUAACGUUGACCCGUGAUCCGGGUUGCGGACAGUGUCUGGUGGGUAGUUUGACUGGGGCGGUCUCCUCCUAAAGAGUAACGGAGGAGCACGAAGGUUGGCUAAUCCUGGUCGGACAUCAGGAGGUUAGUGCAAUGGCAUAAGCCAGCUUGACUGCGAGCGUGACGGCGCGAGCAGGUGCGAAAGCAGGUCAUAGUGAUCCGGUGGUUCUGAAUGGAAGGGCCAUCGCUCAACGGAUAAAAGGUACUCCGGGGAUAACAGGCUGAUACCGCCCAAGAGUUCAUAUCGACGGCGGUGUUUGGCACCUCGAUGUCGGCUCAUCACAUCCUGGGGCUGAAGUAGGUCCCAAGGGUAUGGCUGUUCGCCAUUUAAAGUGGUACGCGAGCUGGGUUUAGAACGUCGUGAGACAGUUCGGUCCCUAUCUGCCGUGGGCGCUGGAGAACUGAGGGGGGCUGCUCCUAGUACGAGAGGACCGGAGUGGACGCAUCACUGGUGUUCGGGUUGUCAUGCCAAUGGCACUGCCCGGUAGCUAAAUGCGGAAGAGAUAAGUGCUGAAAGCAUCUAAGCACGAAACUUGCCCCGAGAUGAGUUCUCCCUGACUCCUUGAGAGUCCUGAAGGAACGUUGAAGACGACGACGUUGAUAGGCCGGGUGUGUAAGCGCAGCGAUGCGUUGAGCUAACCGGUACUAAUGAACCGUGAGGCUUAACCUUACAACGCCGAAGGUGUUU